UCCUACGGGGGGCAGCAGUGGGGAAUAUUGCACAAUGGGGGAAACCCUGAUGCAGCAACGCCGCGUGAGUGAAGAAGUAUCUCGGUACGUAAAGCUCUAUCAGCAGGGAAGAAAAUGACGGUACCUGACUAAGAAGCCCCGGCUAACUACGUGCCAGCAGCCGCGGUAAUACGUAGGGGGCAAGCGUUAUCCGGAUUUACUGGGUGUAAAGGGAGCGUAGACGGCAUGGCAAGUCUGAAGUGAAAGCCCGGGGCUCAACCGCGGGACUGCUUUGGAAACAGUUAAGCUGGAGUGCAGGAGAGGUA
Molecule: ribosomal RNA, 305 nt
Filed under: uncultured bacterium
Lineage: Bacteria
Description: bacterial SSU rRNA
Rfam family: Bacterial small subunit ribosomal RNA
Source: RNAcentral